AUUGAACGCUGGCGGCAUGCCUUACACAUGCAAGUCGAACGGCAGCACGGGAGCAAUCCUGGUGGCGAGUGGCGAACGGGUGAGUAAAGUAUCGGAACGUGCCCAGUCGUGGGGGAUAACGUAGCGAAAGUUACGCUAAUACCGCAUACGAUCUAUGGAUGAAAGCGGGGGAUCGCAAGACCUAGCGCGAUUGGAGCGGCCGAUAUCAGAUUAGGUAGUGGGUGGGGUAAAGGCUCACCAAGCCGACGAUCUGUAGCUGGUCUGAGAGGACGACCAGCCACACUGGGACUGAGACACGGCCCAGACUCCUACGGGAGGCAGCAGUGGGGAAUUUUGGACAAUGGGCGAAAGCCUGAUCCAGCCAUGCCGCGUGCAGGAUGAAGGCCUUCGGGUUGUAAACUGCUUUUGUACGGAACGAAAAGGUUUGGCCUAAUAAGCUGAGCUCAUGACGGUACCGUAAGAAUAAGCACCGGCUAACUACGUGCCAGCCGCCGCAGUAA
This 500-nucleotide ribosomal RNA is filed under the name uncultured bacterium. RNAcentral's name for it is "partial 16S ribosomal RNA". It matches the Rfam family "Bacterial small subunit ribosomal RNA", at positions 30 to 523 of the family's 1533-position model. The record is from RNAcentral.